Molecule: ribosomal RNA, 1206 nt
Filed under: wastewater metagenome
Description: bacterial SSU rRNA
Rfam family: Bacterial small subunit ribosomal RNA
Source: RNAcentral
UGAGAGGAUGAUCAGUCACACUGGAACUGAGACACGGUCCAGACUCCUACGGGAGGCAGCAGUGGGGAAUAUUGCACAAUGGACGAAAGUCUGAUGCAGCAACGCCGCGUGGAGGAUGACACAUUUCGGUGCGUAAACUCCUUUUAUAUGAGAAGAUAAUGACGGUAUUAUAUGAAUAAGCACCGGCUAACUCCGUGCCAGCAGCCGCGGUAAUACGGGGGGUGCAAGCGUUACUCGGAAUCACUGGGCGUAAAGAGCAUGUAGGCGGAUUGAUAAGUUUGAAGUGAAAUCCUAUAGCUUAACUAUAGAACUGCUUUGAAAACUGUUAAUCUAGAAUGUGGGAGAGGUAGAUGGAAUUUCUGGUGUAGGGGUAAAAUCCGUAGAGAUCAGAAGGAAUACCGAUUGCGAAGGCGAUCUACUGGAACAUUAUUGACGCUGAGACGCGAAAGCGUGGGGAGCAAACAGGAUUAGAUACCCUGGUAGUCCACGCCCUAAACGAUGCACACUAGUUGUUGUGAGGCUAGACCUUGCAGUAAUGCAGUUAACACAUUAAGUGUGCCGCCUGGGGAGUACGGUCGCAAGAUUAAAACUCAAAGGAAUAGACGGGGACCCGCACAAGCGGUGGAGCAUGUGGUUUAAUUCGACGAUACACGAAGAACCUUACCUGGACUUGACAUAGUAAGAACUUUCUAGAGAUAGAUUGGUGUCUGCUUGCAGAAACUUAUAUACAGGUGCUGCACGGCUGUCGUCAGCUCGUGUCGUGAGAUGUUGGGUUAAGUCCCGCAACGAGCGCAACCCUCGUGUUUAGUUGCUAACAGUUCGGCUGAGAACUCUAAACAGACUGCCUACGCAAGUAGGAGGAAGGUGAGGACGACGUCAAGUCAUCAUGGCCCUUACGUCCAGGGCUACACACGUGCUACAAUGGGGUAUACAAAGAGCAGCAAUACGGUGACGUGGAGCAAAUCUCAAAAAUAUCUCCCAGUUCGGAUUGUAGUCUGCAACUCGACUACAUGAAGUUGGAAUCGCUAGUAAUCGUAGAUCAGCUAUGCUACGGUGAAUACGUUCCCGGGUCUUGUACUCACCGCCCGUCACACCAUGGGAGUCGAACUCAUUCGAAGCGGGGAUGCUAAAAUAGCUACCUUCCACAGUGGAUUUGGCGACUGGGGUGAAGUCGUAACAAGGUAACCGUAGGAGAACCUGCGGUUG